GACGGGGGGGACUAACGUUAUUCAUCUUAACUGGGCGUAAAGGGUACGUAGGCGGUUUUGCAAGUCUUAAUUAAAGAAUCUAAGCGUAACUUAGAAAUUAAUUACUAUACUACAAAGCUAGAGGUUUAAAACAGGUGCGUUAUAUUCUUAGAGUAAAAGUAAAAUUUCUAAAUACUGAGGAGAUAACCUACCGGCGAAGGCGACGUUCCGGUUUAACACUGACGCUGAGGUACGAAAGGAUGGGAAUCAAACGGG
Molecule: ribosomal RNA, 255 nt
Filed under: uncultured bacterium
Lineage: Bacteria
Description: partial 16S ribosomal RNA
Rfam family: Bacterial small subunit ribosomal RNA
Source: RNAcentral